RNAcentral lists this long non-coding RNA (278 nucleotides) under Selaginella moellendorffii. RNAcentral's name for it is "long non-coding RNA (SMOE_LNC000696)". The record is from RNAcentral. Lineage: Eukaryota; Viridiplantae; Streptophyta; Lycopodiopsida; Selaginellales; Selaginellaceae.
UUCCGGAAGCAUGGGGGGACAUGAUGUGCUGUCGCAGAGACAAUGUCUUUGCAUUCUCUGCUUCUUGGUUCAAAUAUUCAUCUAAGAAAAGAAGAACAAAACGAAAAAAGCUUGAGUGAGUGUUUAAGAUUGUCAAAGCAAAGCUAGACAUAUCACUUCUUGGUCUUUUGCUCCAUAGAGGCAUCAGACCCACAAGGAAUAGCUUUGAGAUUUGAGCAUCAUGGUCUCAUUGCCAGUAUUUCUCCUGCAGAAAGAAAAACCAGAAAAGAAAAGAAAAC